AUACAGAGAAGAUUUAAAAAGCUGAAUUCUUCCUGUUGGUGUAGUGGAGAAAACAGAAAAAUUCUGAGCAAG
Mesocricetus auratus (golden hamster) is the source of this 72-nucleotide non-coding RNA. NCBI's taxonomy places the organism in Eukaryota, Metazoa, Chordata, Mammalia, Rodentia, Cricetidae. The record is from Rfam.